GAGCCACUAACAAGUCGUCCAGAUAUCAACAAUAGUCCCGGAUAUCAGUAAAAGGUUACGGAUAUCAACACUGGGCUCGUAGCCCACGCCAAGCAGAGUGUACCACCUCAAAUCUCCAGCCUCGUGUAUUAUUUAAAAACUCGGAAGCCCAUGCUGGCUGACGUGGUUCUAGCCGGUUCUGUUCACACAUGAGGUGGCAUUGUCACAUUGACUGCACUUGUGUGUCCUAAUGUCGACGUCCUCUCGCUACGUGGCA
RNAcentral lists this long non-coding RNA (256 nucleotides) under Physcomitrium patens. RNAcentral describes it as "long non-coding RNA (PPAT_LNC013674)". Lineage: Eukaryota; Viridiplantae; Streptophyta; Bryopsida; Funariales; Funariaceae. The record is from RNAcentral.